RNAcentral lists this long non-coding RNA (1500 nucleotides) under Sorghum bicolor (sorghum). RNAcentral describes it as "long non-coding RNA (SBIC_LNC012831)". Lineage: Eukaryota; Viridiplantae; Streptophyta; Magnoliopsida; Poales; Poaceae. The record is from RNAcentral.
GCCGGAGGAACUGCGGCACCGCUACGGUGGGAGCCGAAACCGACGACACCCCAUGCGGGGGCGGGGACAGGAUCUGGGUCGAGAUCCACGAACGACAGGCCAGGAGGACCCGGGGGGCGGGCGGGACGACAGCGAGGAACAGCGUGGCAGCCGGAGCAGGAAACCCGACGCGGGGCCGGGAAUGGCGGAUCUGGGACAGAGCACGCGCGACCGACCUCCCUCGCGCAAAGGAGGCAGGCGGAGGCGGGCGGCCGUGGCGGGGGAUUGGAGGAGACUUUGCGGAGAUCCCUAGCGCCCACGGCGGGGGUGGACGCGGCGGCGGCAGGCGGCAAGAAGAGAGAAGUAGGGCGCUCACCUCGUCGUCGAUCCGGCCACGGGAGAAGAAGCGCGGCCACCCCGUCGUCGAUCUGCCCGGGGGAGAAGAAGUCCACCCGCCAUCUUGCUCUGUGAUAUUGAGCACGAGGUGAGAGGUGAGGGUAUCGGGGAGAAGUGGAUCAGAGAGAGGUAUCGGUGUGCAUAUGGUCGAAGGGGGUGUCCGGCUUGGGGAGGAGAGAGGUGUUUUUUUUUAUUUUUUUAAGAAGAUGGAUGCUAGGCUGAUUUUCUAUUUUAUUUUUUAUAUUUUUUAAAGAAACAACCAGAAGAACAUGCGUGCAUCUAUUUGUUUUUUUACUUGUUGGGAAGCACCACAUUCGAAAUAAUUAGAACCCUAUUUAAGUAGGAGCCAGAUAUCUAUUUUAAAUAUUUCUAAAAAUAUUUUUUGACACCCAACCUAUGUCAAUUUUUUUGACAUUUAUAAAUUAGGCCUCAUGACAUAGUGAAUAUUGUCAUAGUAUAGAAUUAGAAUAGUUCUAUGACAUUUAUUAUGACAUCCAGCUUUUUUAUGUCACUAGGUCAAAAUGACUAUUACAGAAUGUCAUAAUCUGGGUGAUAUAAUGACACCACGCUCUAUUGUCAUACUAAAUAUGUCAAAAAAUCAUGCAUUUCUUGUAGUGUAAUGAGAACGGUGUUGGGUAUUUUAACGUGUCGGUGUUUUCCCCACCGGGGGUCACACCAACGAGUAAAUUUGUAUGCGUGCUCCCUUUCCCAGAUGGUGAUGCAAGAAGACACUGAGAUUUAUCCUGGUUCGGGCAAGAGAAGGCCCUACGUCUAGCGGGGGGGAGAGAGUUGGUAUUAUCUUGCACCGAAGUGCUUGUAUAGGGGUGAAUACAAGCGUGGUAUGGAGUGUGUCUUGAUCUAUUCCUGAGUCCCUCCUUUUAUAGUUCCAAGGAGUGACUCAGGGUACAUGUAUAGAUGUCAGAGUAGGGGUCGAUAGCAGCAUGGAGCGCUGACCUACUCGAGGCUUCCGUACCGGCAUGGCCUCGAACCGUCCCAUCUUGAUAGCCUAGUGAUGAUUACGCGUGCCCCUGCAUUCUGCUCUGCGCGCCGUCUUGGAUUGGUCUGGCAGAUGCACGCUUAUAUGGCUCGGCGGCAAAUCCGGCGGAGCGGUUACGGUGUGGUCAG